UUCCUCAAAAGAGGGAUAUCACAUUGGGCGGGGGACCGUCCGUUUGCUAACGGAAGACAGAAA
This 63-nucleotide non-coding RNA is filed under the name unclassified sequences. The record is from RNAcentral.